This is a long non-coding RNA of Neodiprion virginianus, 1173 nucleotides long. RefSeq lists it as uncharacterized. The record is from RefSeq and is a predicted model, not a curated record. NCBI's taxonomy places the organism in Eukaryota, Metazoa, Arthropoda, Insecta, Hymenoptera, Diprionidae. The transcript has 2 exons.
UUUUAACCAUGCAUUAAUAUCCAGUUUCAACUGUAAUACUGUAAAUUGUAACAUAUUAUAUAGAUCUGCACACCAUUGAAUCACCACUCAUGGCACAUAUCUAGAAUUCUCUAUAUACGCGUGCAAUGCGGUCAAUUUAUAACUCUAGUCACCAUCCAGGUGUAACGUCUGACGAAGCAUUACAGCGGUGGACUCGACCCGGAGUAACUAGGGUUCUAAUUAAGCAGAUGGUACACACCGCGACGUACAAAUGGACGGAUAAGUGAGGACACAGGCCCGGAGGCCACGUUCAGCCAUGGAUAAUACAUACCUAUACGUGCAGAAGUGUAACUAACAUCAACAAUAAGAGCGAAACUGGAAGACAGGCACUCUCGCAACUUCCAGUUGUACCCCAUCCUGCAGGCAUCUAUACUCUGCAUAGUCAGAUACAUAGGUAUAAACGCUAGGCACACAGGGUGUUCCUGAUCAAACGUAAGUUGUACAUAGGUUUGUGGGUAUAGGUACAGCUGGUUGAGUUUUCGUCAUAGGUACUCUCUUUUGCCCUCCGCACGACAUCGAUCACGGUCCCUGCAAUGUAAAUAAAGCGUGAAAAUAAAGGUAAUUACUCGGUAAAAUCGACCGAAUUUCAUCGUACAGACGAAUUAUAUCGGCGGACGUAAAUUGUACCUACGUGAGAUUGUCAACUCAGCAGUUCAAAGCCAAUAUCUUCGAAUUUCAAGAGGCCUGCAUCUGACUCAAGAAUGACUCGAGCUAAUUAAGUUUAACCUCUCCCUCGUUCUUCUGCAGGAGUCUUCAAUUCCCGUCGGCUAGGAUGAUCGGCGCUGCGCGGUGCCUUUGCAGCUGGUAUAUUCAAGUAGUAGAACUCGGUAACAAGGCAGGCGUGGACUGCAGGAACUGACAGCUCGGCCCUGCAAUUUCAGUAUUAUUAUACACUACCUACUCGCACAUCCAUUAGAGCUGAAAUGUAAUUUGGAAUCAACAUCGUAUCUAGGACACGAACGGCAACAAUGCGUACCGUAUGACUUCGUGUACAUAUUUAUAUUGUAUAAGUAUGCACCUUAUUGUCAAAAUGAUUGAUUAUACUUCAAUAAUGCUCUGCUACGUCUUUUUCUAAGACCAUAGUAUCAGUCGCUCUGACCAUCGAUCAUUGAAUAUAAUAUUUCUUUUACAUAA